Molecule: transfer RNA, 70 nt
Filed under: Cynoglossus quadrilineatus (fourlined tonguesole)
Lineage: Eukaryota; Metazoa; Chordata; Actinopteri; Pleuronectiformes; Cynoglossidae
Description: tRNA-Ile
Source: RNAcentral
GGAGCUGUGUCUGAACUUAGGAGCCACUUUGAUAGAGUGGAACAUGGAGGUGAAAACCCUUCCAGCUCCU